AAAUUAGUCCCUCCGUCUGAAAAUACUCGUGGGAGAAAUGUAUGUAUCUAGAUGCAUUUGAGUUCUAGAUACAUCCAUUCUUUUCCAUUUCUACCACAAGUAAUUCUCGAUGGAGGGAGUAGAAU
Molecule: non-coding RNA, 125 nt
Organism: Hordeum vulgare subsp. vulgare (domesticated barley)
Lineage: Eukaryota; Viridiplantae; Streptophyta; Magnoliopsida; Poales; Poaceae
Source: Rfam